GGCUGCGUGCCUCCUGGUCCUGCAUGCUUGGACCUCGUCGAGCAGCUCAGCCACCACCUGGCGGCCCCGGUGAUCAGGAACGCCGGCAACAACCCGGGUCCUUGCAGCGAAGGAUCGAGCAACUGCAGGGACGACAACAAGACCAUCAACGACAGGUCUUGUGUAGACGAAGCCGCAGCAGCAAACGGAGACGACGGAUCAGUGCAGCACCCAGCAAGCAUGAACAACGGCGGCGCAACCGUGUGGCCGCCGCCGUACAGCUGCGCGCCAUCUCCGGCGGCGUAUUUCUCCUCGGGCAUCGCGAUCCCGAUAUACC
RNAcentral lists this long non-coding RNA (316 nucleotides) under Sorghum bicolor (sorghum). Its description in RNAcentral is "long non-coding RNA (SBIC_LNC000668)". The record is from RNAcentral. Lineage: Eukaryota; Viridiplantae; Streptophyta; Magnoliopsida; Poales; Poaceae.